Molecule: ribosomal RNA, 497 nt
Filed under: uncultured bacterium
Lineage: Bacteria
Description: partial 16S ribosomal RNA
Rfam family: Bacterial small subunit ribosomal RNA
Source: RNAcentral
GAUGAACGCUGGCGGCGUGCCUAAUACAUGCAAGUCGAGCGAACGGACGAGAAGCUUGCUUCUCUGAUGUUAGCGGCGGACGGGUGAGUAACACGUGGAUAACCUACCUAUAAGACUGGGAUAACUUCGGGAAACCGGAGCUAAUACCGGAUAAUAUUUUGAACCGCAUGGUUCAAAAGUGAAAGACGGUCUUGCUGUCACUUAUAGAUGGAUCCGCGCUGCAUUAGCUAGUUGGUAAGGUAACGGCUUACCAAGGCAACGAUGCAUAGCCGACCUGAGAGGGUGAUCGGCCACACUGGAACUGAGACACGGUCCAGACUCCUACGGGAGGCAGCAGUAGGGAAUCUUCCGCAAAGGGCGAAAGCCUGACGGAGCAACGCCGCGUGAGUGAUGAAGGUCUUCGGAUCGUAAAACUCUGUUAUUAGGGAAGAACAUAUGUGUAAGUAACUGUGCACAUCUUGACGGCACCUAAUCAGAAAGCCACGGCUAACUACGUG